Molecule: non-coding RNA, 30 nt
Filed under: Rattus norvegicus (Norway rat)
Lineage: Eukaryota; Metazoa; Chordata; Mammalia; Rodentia; Muridae
Source: RNAcentral
UUCAUCCAGAGAUAAGAAGAAUGAGACAAA